Molecule: ribosomal RNA, 992 nt
Filed under: uncultured bacterium
Lineage: Bacteria
Description: bacterial SSU rRNA
Rfam family: Bacterial small subunit ribosomal RNA
Source: RNAcentral
CCAGAAAGGGACGGCUAANUACGUGCCAGCAGCCGCGGUAAUACGUAGGUCCCGAGCGUUNUCCGGAUUUAUUGGGCGUAAAGGGAGCGCAGGCGNUCAGGAAAGUCUGGAGUAAAAGGCUAUGGCUCAACCAUAGUGUGCUCUGGAAACUGUNUGACUUGAGUGCAGAAGGGGAGAGUGGAAUUCCAUGUGUAGCGGUGAAAUGCGUAGAUAUAUGGAGGANCACCAGUGGCGAAAGCGGCUCUCUGGUCUGUCACUGACGCUGAGGCUCGAAAGCGUGGGUAGCGAACAGGAUUAGAUACCCUGGUAGUNCACGCCGUAAACGAUGAGUGCUAGGUGUUAGGCCCUUUCCGGGGCUUAGUGCCGGAGCUAACGCAAUAAGCACUCCGCCUGGGGAGUACGACCGCAAGGUUGAAACUCAAAGGAAUUGACGGGGGCCCGCACAAGCGGUGGAGCAUGUGGUUUAAUUCGAAGCAACGCGAAGAACCUUACCAGGUCUUGACAUCCCGAUGCUAUUCUUAGAGAUAAGAAGUUACUUCGGUACAUCGGAGACAGGUGGUGCAUGGUUGUCGUCAGCUCGUGUCGUGAGAUGUUGGGUUAAGUCCCGCAACGAGCGCAACCCUUAUUGUUAGUUGCCAUCAUUAAGUUGGGCACUCUAGCGAGACUGCCGGUAAUAAACCGGAGGAAGGUGGGGAUGACGUCAAAUCAUCAUGCCCCUUAUGACCUGGGCUACACACGUGCUACAAUGGUCGGUACAACGAGUUGCGAGCCGGUGACGGCAAGCUAAUCUCUGAAAGCCGAUCUCAGUUCGGAUUGGAGGCUGCAACUCGCCUCCAUGAAGUCGGAAUCGCUAGUAAUCGCGGAUCAGCACGCCGCGGUGAAUACGUUCCCGGGCCUUGUACACACCGCCCGUCACACCACGAGAGUUUGUAACACCCGAAGUCGGUGAGGUAACCUUUUAGGGGCCAGCCGCCUAAGGUGGGAUGGAUGAU